RNAcentral lists this ribosomal RNA (486 nucleotides) under uncultured bacterium. RNAcentral's name for it is "partial 16S ribosomal RNA". It matches the Rfam family "Bacterial small subunit ribosomal RNA", at positions 30 to 507 of the family's 1533-position model. The record is from RNAcentral.
AUUGAACGCUGGCGGCAUGCCUUACACAUGCAAGUCGAACGGCAGCACGGGUGCUUGCACCUGGUGGCGAGUGGCGAACGGGUGAGUAAUACAUCGGAACAUGUCCUGUAGUGGGGGAUAGCCUGGCGAAAGCCGGAUUAAUACCGCAUACGAUCUACGGAUGAAAGCGGGGGACCUUCGGGCCUCGCGCUAUAGGGUUGGCCGAUGGCUGAUUAGCUAGUUGGUGGGGUAAAGGCCUACCAAGGCGACGAUCAGUAGCUGGUCUGAGAGGACGACCAGCCACACUGGGACUGAGACACGGCCCAGACUCCUACGGGAGGCAGCAGUGGGGAAUUUUGGACAAUGGGCGAAAGCCUGAUCCAGCAAUGCCACGUGUGUGAAGAAGGCCUUCGGGUUGUAAAGCACUUUUGUCCGGAAAGAAAUCCUUGGCCCUAAUACGGUCGGGGGAUGACGGUACCGGAAGAAUAAGCACCGGCUAACUACGUG